CCUAACACAUGCAAGUCGAACGGUAACAGGAAGAAGCUUGCUUCUUUGCUGACGAGUGGCGGACGGGUGAGUAAUGUCUGGGAAACUGCCUGAUGGAGGGGGAUAACUACUGGAAACGGUAGCUAAUACCGCAUAACGUCGCAAGACCAAAGAGGGGGACCUUCGGGCCUCUUGCCAUCGGAUGUGCCCAGAUGGGAUUAGCUAGUAGGUGGGGUAACGGCUCACCUAGGCGACGAUCCCUAGCUGGUCUGAGAGGAUGACCAGCCACACUGGAACUGAGACACGGUCCAGACUCCUACGGGAGGCAGCAGUGGGGAAUAUUGCACAAUGGGCGCAAGCCUGAUGCAGCCAUGCCGCGUGUAUGAAGAAGGCCUUCGGGUUGUAAAGACUUUCAGCGGGGAGGAAGGGAGUAAAGUUAAUACCUUUGCUCAUUGACGUUACCCGCAGAAGAAGCACCGGCUAACUCCGUGCCAGCAGCCGCGGUAAUACGGAGGGUGCAAGCGUUAAUCGGAAUUACUGGGCGUAAAGCGCACGCAGGCGGUUUGUUAAGUCAGAUGUGAAAUCCCCGGGCUCAACCUGGGAACUGCAUCUGAUACUGGCAAGCUUGAGUCU
Molecule: ribosomal RNA, 612 nt
Filed under: uncultured bacterium
Lineage: Bacteria
Description: bacterial SSU rRNA
Rfam family: Bacterial small subunit ribosomal RNA
Source: RNAcentral